GGUUAAGCGACUAAGCGUACACGGUGGAUGCCCUGGCAGUCAGAGGCGAUGAAGGACGUGCUAAUCUGCGAUAAGCGUCGGUGAGGUGAUAUGAACCGUUAUAACCGGCGAUUUCCGAAUGGGGAAACCCAGUGUGUUUCGACACACUAUCAUUAACUGAAUCCAUAGGUUAAUGAGGCGAACCGGGGGAACUGAAACAUCUAAGUACCCCGAGGAAAAGAAAUCAACCGAGAUUCCCCCAGUAGCGGCGAGCGAACGGGGAGGAGCCCAGAGCCUGAAUCAGUGUGUGUGUUAGUGGAAGCGUCUGGAAAGGCGCGCGAUACAGGGUGACAGCCCCGUACACAAAAAUGCACAUAUUGUGAGCUCGAUGAGUAGGGCGGGACACGUGGUAUCCUGUCUGAAUAUGGGGGGACCAUCCUCCAAGGCUAAAUACUCCUGACUGACCGAUAGUGAACCAGUACCGUGAGGGAAAGGCGAAAAGAACCCCGGCGAGGGGAGUGAAAAAGAACCUGAAACCGUGUACGUACAAGCAGUGGGAGCCUCUUAAUGGGGUGACUGCGUACCUUUUGUAUAAUGGGUCAGCGACUUAUAUUCUGUAGCAAGGUUAACCGAAUAGGGGAGCCGAAGGGAAACCGAGUCUUAACUGGGCGUUAAGUUGCAGGGUAUAGACCCGAAACCCGGUGAUCUAGCCAUGGGCAGGUUGAAGGUUGGGUAACACUAACUGGAGGACCGAACCGACUAAUGUUGAAAAAUUAGCGGAUGACUUGUGGCUGGGGGUGAAAGGCCAAUCAAACCGGGAGAUAGCUGGUUCUCCCCGAAAGCUAUUUAGGUAGCGCCUCGUGAAUUCAUCUCCGG
RNAcentral lists this ribosomal RNA (855 nucleotides) under Escherichia coli. Its description in RNAcentral is "partial 23S ribosomal RNA". It matches the Rfam family "Bacterial large subunit ribosomal RNA", at positions 1 to 899 of the family's 2925-position model. The record is from RNAcentral. Lineage: Bacteria; Pseudomonadati; Pseudomonadota; Gammaproteobacteria; Enterobacterales; Enterobacteriaceae.